GACACGGACCAGACUCCUACGGGAGGCAGCAGUGAGGAAUAUUGGUCAAUGGGCGGGAGCCUGAACCAGCCAAGUCGCGUGAGGGAUGACGGCCCUAUGGGUUGUAAACCUCUUUUGCCGGGGAGCAAAGUGCCGCACGUGUGCGGUUUGGAGAGUACCCGGAGAAAAAGCAUCGGCUAACUCCGUGCCAGCAGCCGCGGUAAUACGGAGGAUGCGAGCGUUAUCCGGAUUUAUUGGGUUUAAAGGGUGCGUAGGCGGACGCUUAAGUCAGCGGUAAAAUUGCGGGGCUCAACCUCGUCGAGCCGUUGAAACUGGGUGCCUUGAGUGGGCGAGAAGUACGCGGAAUGCGUGGUGUAGCGGUGAAAUGCAUAGAUAUCACGCAGAACUCCGAUUGCGAAGGCAGCGUACCGGCGCCCAACUGACGCUGAAGCACGAAGGCGUGGGUAUCGAACAGGAUUAGAUACCCUGGUAGUCCACGCAGUAAACGAUGAAUGCUAGUUGUCCGGGGCGAUUGAGUUCUGG
This 522-nucleotide ribosomal RNA is filed under the name uncultured bacterium. Its description in RNAcentral is "bacterial SSU rRNA". It matches the Rfam family "Bacterial small subunit ribosomal RNA", at positions 323 to 842 of the family's 1533-position model. The record is from RNAcentral.